This 459-nucleotide long non-coding RNA is filed under the name Brachypodium distachyon (stiff brome). RNAcentral's name for it is "long non-coding RNA (BDIS_LNC000214)". The record is from RNAcentral. Lineage: Eukaryota; Viridiplantae; Streptophyta; Magnoliopsida; Poales; Poaceae.
AGAAUUUAGUGAACCAUGUAAUUAUUAUGAGAUUUUAUUUGGAGUUCAAUUAUUUGGAGCUCAACCCAAUGGGGUAUUUAGCUAAGGAAGGAUUUUAGUGCAAAGUAUGACAACCCAAUAUUUUUAUUGGAGUUUAAACUAAUUUAUGAAACAAAAGUUUCAUAAUAGAUUUUGAAAUCUAUUUUGAUUAUUAGUUAUAAAGCCCUAAAGGCAAAUAUAUAAGCAAAGAUAUUUUUAAAUAUUUUAUUUUGAAAGGAUCCAAGUCACAAAAGCUGACACCUUGGAGGAUUUGAAUUUACAAAUUUUUUGGAGUUUAUUUGGACUUAUUUGUAGUUAUGAAUCAAAAGAUAUAGAUGAAAAAAGAAAAAGAAAGAAAAGAGAAAGGACCGACCCAAAUUGGGCCGGCCCAUCUCCCCUCGGCCCAGCCGAGCGAGCACGAGCACCCUCCUUUGCGUGGGA